This 464-nucleotide ribosomal RNA is filed under the name uncultured bacterium. RNAcentral's name for it is "partial 16S ribosomal RNA". It matches the Rfam family "Bacterial small subunit ribosomal RNA", at positions 31 to 507 of the family's 1533-position model. The record is from RNAcentral.
AGGGAAGGCGGGGGGCAGGCCUAACACAUGCAAGUCGAGCGGAUGAAGGGAGCUUGCUCCUGGAUUCAGCGGCGGACGGGUGAGUAAUGCCUAGGAAUCUGCCUGGUAGUGGGGGAUAACGUCCGGAAACGGGCGCUAAUACCGCAUACGUCCUGAGGGUGAAAGUGGGGGAUCUUCGGACCCGGCGGUAUCAGAUGAGUCUAGGGCGGAUUAGCUAGUUGGUGGGGUAAAGGCUUACCAAGGCGACGAUGGGUAACUGGUCUGAGAGGAUGAUCGGUCACAGUGGGACUGAGAUACGGCCCAGACUGCUACGGGAGGCAGCAGUGGGGAAUAUUGAAAAAUGGGCGGAAGCAUGAGGCAGCAAUGCCGCGUGCGGGAUGACGGCCUUCGGGUUGUAAACAGCUUUCGCCUGUGACGAAGCGGGAGGGACGGUAAUGGGUAAAGAAGCACCGGCUAACUACGUG